AGUGAACGCUGGCGGUAGGCCUAACACAUGCAAGUCGAACGGCAGCACAGUAAGAGCUUGCUCUUACGGGUGGCGAGUGGCGGACGGGUGAGGAAUACAUCGGAAUCUACUUUUUCGUGGGGGUUAACGUAGGGAAACUUACGCUAAUACCGCAUACGACCUACGGGUGAAAGCAGGGGAUCUUUGGACCUUGUGCGAUUGAAUGCGCCGAUGUCGGAUUAGCUAGUUGGCGGGGUAAAGGCCCACCAAGGCGACGAUCCGUAGCUGGUCGGAGUGGAUGGUCAGCCGCACUGGACCGUGAACAGGGUCCAGACUCCUACGGGAGGCAGCAGUGUGCUAUAUUGGACAAUGGGCGCGAGCCUGAUCCAGCCAGACCGCGUCUGUGGAGAAGACCUUCGGGUUGUAAUGCCCUUUUGUUGGGAGAGAAAAGCAGCAGGUUAAUACCCCGCGGUUCUGACGGUACCCAAAGAAUAAGCACCGGCUAACUUCGUG
RNAcentral lists this ribosomal RNA (492 nucleotides) under uncultured bacterium. RNAcentral's name for it is "partial 16S ribosomal RNA". It matches the Rfam family "Bacterial small subunit ribosomal RNA", at positions 29 to 507 of the family's 1533-position model. The record is from RNAcentral.